UACGUAGGUGGCAAGCGUUGUCCGGAUUGACUGGGCGUAAAGCGCACGUAGGCGGGCCUUUAAGUCAGGGGUGAAAUCCUGGAGCUCAACUCCAGAACUGCCUUUGAUACUGAGGAUCUCGAGUCCGGGAGAGGUGAGUGGAACUCCGAGUGUAGAGGUGAAAUUCGUAGAUAUUCGGAAGAACACCAGUGGCGAAGGCGGCUCACUGGCCCGGUACUGACGCUGAGGUGCGAAAGCGUGGGGAGCAAACAGG
RNAcentral lists this ribosomal RNA (253 nucleotides) under uncultured bacterium. Its description in RNAcentral is "partial 16S ribosomal RNA". It matches the Rfam family "Bacterial small subunit ribosomal RNA", at positions 524 to 776 of the family's 1533-position model. The record is from RNAcentral.